UGCCCCGCGCUGCCCAGCAGGCGCCCCUGCGCGGGAACCGCGACUUUGAGCUCGCGUCGCGUCUUAGGCUCCACGGCCCCGGCGCCGCCCUCCCGGACUACAAUCACCCGAAGGACCCGCGCCCUCAGCCCGCGCCCCCUGGGGCACGCCGGGGGUUGUAGUCUCGGCAGGGCAGUGGGUAGAAGGCUGGGCCUUUGUGGGGUUGUGGUGGCUAUGCAUACUGAGCAGCCAGUAAGGACCAUCGCUAUUCCAGAUGGGACAUUGCAGUGAAGAGGAGAGGCACGGCCUGCCUCCAUGGAGCUGAUGUUAUUUUAGGGAGGCAGACGGUAAUCAAAGAAACAAGAACUGUUUCUGAGGAGUUAGCAUCCCAGCUGAGGCCUGAAUAAAGGGAAGGACUCAGAAUUUUCCAGGAAGGCGACCACAGAGCAUAUUCAAGGACCUGCUGCAAUCCAUCCCGAGGAUAAUAAUGGAGGUCGUCAGAAAAGAGAUCUCAUGAGGGUCUGUGUUCACACACUUUGGCGCUCCUGAGGCCUACUCAGGGAACCGGAACAGAGGUCCUACUGAGGACAUAGGGCAACAUUUGCUUUUCUGGGAAAAAGAAUUUAAGCAAUGGUCAGUCCCCAGCAUGGCAAAUCCUAGUGUGGGGAGAGGUUAUGGAGGCAGUGAAGCUGUGAGGAGUGUCAGGAUACCUUCGAGCCCUGUCAAACAAAAGAAUGUUGCUGUGGAGAAGAAACCACACAUGUUAGUCACACAUGGAGGAAGCUUUGAGCAGGUUCCAGAGCCAGAUGUGUUGUAGGCAACCUGUGUGGACAGGAAGACCUGCAGGUGUGGCUUGUGUGGAAAGAGUUUCAAGCAGCACUUGGCCCUCUCUGUGCACUAGGGUACUCACCCUAGGAAAAGCCUUAUCUGUGUAGCACCUGUGGGAAAGUCUUUUUCCCAGUCUGACCGCAUUGAGCACCAGAGGAUCCAUAUUGGAGUGAAACCCUCCGAAUGCCAUGAGUGUGGAAAAACCUUCAUUCAGAGCUCCACACUCACAAUGCACCAGAGGACCCACACUGGAGAGAACCAGUACAAAUGUAGGCAAAGCCUUCCUGGGGAACUCAGACAUGUGGAAACACCUGCAGAUUCGCACAGGGGAGAAGCCCUAGCAGUGUUGGAAUUGUGGGAAAGCCUUCAGGUGGAGCUCGCCCUGAUCCACCGUCAGAGGACACACAGUGGUGAGGAGCCGUGUGGGUGUAUUGAGUGUGGCAGGCCUUUGGGCAGAGUUCCACACUCAGUGUCACAAGAUCCACACAGGCAAGAGGACUUACGAGUGCUUGGACUGUGGCAGAGCCUUUAAAGGCAGCGCAGACCUUGGCCAGCACCAGCGGGGCCGGAUGGGUGAGAGGCCCUGUGCCUGGCAGGAGUGUGGCAAGGCCACAAGGCCUUCGUCCAGCGGUCACACCUCAGCCAGCACCAGCGCACCUACAUGGGCCAGAAGCCCUGCCUGUGCAGGGAGUGUGGCAAGGCCUUCAGCUACAGUUCACACCUGCUUCAGCACCACAGCACCUGGUAGCUGUGCUCUCUCCACUGCCCACAUCACCUCCCACCAUCUUGAAGGCCUGAGGCAUCUCAUCUCCCUCCUCCUACACCUCAUAGACUCUCAUUGCUUCCCUCCCCUUUGCCAGGGUUUGCCCUUUUACCUGGUCCUCUUUCCAUAUCCUUUCCUCUUUACAAAUUAAGGGGACACCUGGGUGGCUCUGUCACUUAAGCAUCCGACUCGUGACUUCAGCUCAGGUCAUGAUCUCACAGUUUGUGAAUUCAAGCUCCACCUUGGGCUCUGCGCUAACAGGACAG
Long non-coding RNA from Felis catus (domestic cat), 1836 nucleotides. RefSeq lists it as uncharacterized. NCBI's taxonomy places the organism in Eukaryota, Metazoa, Chordata, Mammalia, Carnivora, Felidae. The record is from RefSeq and is a predicted model, not a curated record. The transcript is spliced from 3 exons.